Molecule: small nucleolar RNA, 133 nt
Filed under: Dasypus novemcinctus (nine-banded armadillo)
Lineage: Eukaryota; Metazoa; Chordata; Mammalia; Cingulata; Dasypodidae
Description: Small nucleolar RNA SNORA31 (ENSDNOG00000046838.1)
Rfam family: Small nucleolar RNA SNORA31
About the family: ACA31 (SNORA31) belongs to the H/ACA class of snoRNAs which are thought to guide the sites of modification of uridines to pseudouridines. ACA31 is predicted to guide the pseudouridylation of U3713 in 28S rRNA and U218 in 18S rRNA. This family includes the mouse homologue snoMBI-161.
Source: RNAcentral
AUCCAUCUCUAACAAACCUGGAGCAGUUAAUGGCUGCUGCUCAGGUUUCCAAAAUAGGUGCAAGAAAAAGAAGGUCCUCACACUUUCUGCCUGUCUGGUCGUGGCAGCUAAGAUCUAAUGGGGGAAUACAGGA